GGGGAAGGAGAGGAAGAGGAUCAGGACGAGGAGAAGAAGAAAGAGAAUUAGAUGCAAGCGAAGGAAGAGAAGAAACUAGAGGAAGAGGGAGAGGGAGAAGAAUAACAGAAGAAAGAAGAGGAGAAGAAAGGCUAAGGAGAGCAGUUAACCAGCCCGGGAACAUUGCUGGCGUGUUCAUCCCUGAGCCGGUUCUAGCGCCCGUUCCGAAGCCGGUUCGACUGGGAUCCGAACCGCUCGUUUUCUUUGACAUCGAGACCACGGGGUUCGGGGCGCAGUCGCAUAUCAUCCAGAUCGCCGGCGUGAGGGGCGACAGCUCUUACAGCGCCUACGUCAUACCCGG
Molecule: long non-coding RNA, 340 nt
Organism: Penaeus monodon (black tiger shrimp)
Lineage: Eukaryota; Metazoa; Arthropoda; Malacostraca; Decapoda; Penaeidae
Exons: 3
Source: RefSeq, a predicted model, not a curated record